GGAGGGUCUGCUGCUCAGUGGCAGAGCUUCUGCUUUGCAUGCAGAAUGUCCCAAGUCAAGUCUCUGGCAUCUCCA
Non-coding RNA from Podarcis lilfordi (Lilford's wall lizard), 75 nucleotides. The record is from the annotation of a GenBank genome assembly. Lineage: Eukaryota; Metazoa; Chordata; Lepidosauria; Squamata; Lacertidae.